Molecule: long non-coding RNA, 438 nt
Organism: Myotis lucifugus (little brown bat)
Lineage: Eukaryota; Metazoa; Chordata; Mammalia; Chiroptera; Vespertilionidae
Exons: 2
Source: RefSeq, a predicted model, not a curated record
CCCACAGGCAGUGGGGGAGCCGAGGCUACUGCCUCUGGGCGCCACACCAGGAGCUCUGGUUCUCCCCAGGGCCCCAUGGUGGCCGGCUGCUCCAGUGACUCUCAGACCUGGGAAGAGAGCGCGGGGGGAAUGGUCAUGAGACAAAGGCCAGGAAAAGCUUUCUGGACACCAGGAAUCAGACCAUAUAAGGAACUGAAACUGUCCUAAAAACAGCUGAGCACACACCUGCAUUCCAUCUCCUUCCAAGCCACCGACUCAGCCCCCAAGUCCACUGACGACAAAAGUUUCCUGCCAGCGACUACAUAUAAGGAUGAAACUCCAGCUCCUGGGUGCUGCCAUCAUCGACCCAAUGUCCCCUUGGCUCAGUGCUGUGCAGCCCUUCCCUUUGGGUAUCCCAUCCCUCAUCCCCUUUUCCUAAAUAAAAUCAUUUUUUCUUUA